UAAAUAGCGUAAAUAAUUAUCUAAACAUACGAAACAUAAAUACAAUCGCAUGCAAUAAUAUCAUACAGUAACUACCAUAACUAACAGCCAUAAGGGGGAGAUAAGCUAAAACACAAAUCCUCUAUGGGUAACCCUGCUGACCCACACCCAACCCCGGAUGAGGCGUACGAAAAACUCUAGGAGCCCCUAUCCUACAACCCUGAUUCUAG
Molecule: long non-coding RNA, 209 nt
Filed under: Nicotiana benthamiana
Lineage: Eukaryota; Viridiplantae; Streptophyta; Magnoliopsida; Solanales; Solanaceae
Description: long non-coding RNA (NBEN_LNC036683)
Source: RNAcentral